GCUCGAUUAUCGUCCACGUCCGCGGACCGGUUCUCGCUCGCGGAUCCUCCUAAAUCAAGAAAACGACAUAAUUAUUUUCCUUAAAUUAGAAUUAGGACUAAAUUUAUGCAAUAAACUCGAAACGAACAUCUAUCCAUAAUUUACAACUCCCGUGUCGGUAAAAUUAUUAAAAUGCCCUCGAGUCCGUAAAUCAUUAAAAUACUUCGAAAUCUUAAAUCACCAAAUUACCCUCGGAAUCGUAAUUACAUCCAACCCUCAAUUUCAAGAAUUACUAAAAUAUCCACAUGCUCAGAAAUUACAAAAUUGCCCUCAUAGCGUGAAAUUACCGAAAUGCCCUUGCCGGUCAACGGCCACUGGAAUUUAGUCAACGCUGGCUGGAAAGCUCAAGUCUGAAAGUUCCAAUCACACUGAGUUCAAUGGUACCGGCGGUGAGCUCCAAUGCGCGGCAACGACGCCGGAAUCUAGCUCGACAGCCGUGAGUUUCCACCAAUUGGCCGACGGCGAAACAGUGACUCCCGGUGCCUAUGGAUAGUCGGAAAUGGAAGAGGAAGUUAUGAGGAACAAAAUCCAACCGGUGGUCUCACCCAAAACCGGCGAAAAUCCCGGCAAAAUAAAGCGAAACAGUCGCGGGUUUUCAAGCUUCGAUCGCCGGCGUUCCGGUUGGUUUUCGGCGGCAAGGAUGGUAGGGGAACGACGGCCAGCUUCUAAGCUUUAGAUUGGUACCAAGCUUGACUGGAACGAUGGUCGAAAAUGGGAGAUAUGGUCGGGUCACGUUCGCGGGUCGGGUCAGGUUUUCGGGUUUGUAGUUCGGUCGGUUUGGCAGCUUCUCUCUCACUCUCUCACUCUCUCACACGUGUAUCUCUGUUUUUGCUCUGUUUUUCCAGCUUCUUCUUUUGCUUUUACUAACUUCUUAACUGCCUCUUUUUGUUUAUUCAUUUUUAAUUUCUACAUAUGUUACAGAUUGCCCUAUUUUAUCACUUGUUUGUGACUGAUUUUGGGUUAAUGAAUAAAAAACCACAAAACCAACCCAAGAGCAAUAAAUUUAUAUUUUUGUCGGGGAGUGGGGUACCUCGUUUGUUCAGCACGUGUGGGCUAUUUAGGAUUUUUGUGGAGUGAAGGAGGAUUGAGAUGACGGUGGUUAUGGAGGGGAUCUGACUUUAGGUGCGGAGGUGAAACUCACCUUAAACCUGCGAAAUAACCAAAAAAGAGGUCAGAGGUGGAGCCGGGGGUGGCCGCUAACCACACUCCGACGCUCAAGUCAGAGUUGAGUUAUCUCAGGUUAGAGAGCUUGCAAGCUCUCGGUAAUGGAGGUUUUGAGGUUGAAGAAACCCUAGUUUUUCCUGGUGAGUCUGUUAACUUACUUGAUAAAAAUCAAACCUGAGUAUUUAUAUGGUGUACCCUGGUCGCCGUGCCACCUGGCGCUAUUUUAGUGGCGUUCCCUGUUGUCAUGUCAGGAAUAUUCUUAUUUUCAUGCGUAUGGCGGCUUAGACGCUUCAAAAAUAUGAGUGGAGAGCAAGUUUGUGGCGUAUUCACAUGUUGGGCAUAGUGGAGUGGUCUCGCGUACCUCUGCAAUUCCGUUGUAAUUUUGCAGGCGUAGCAGGAAAAGCUGGUGGUCCCAACUGUCACAAUAUCACACUUUUGGCGGGUUCGCUGGCGUGACAGGCGGCUGUCUCCUCUUUUGCAACACGAGAUUUCCUUAUUUUUUGACACGUAUCAGACCGAUCGUUUUGAGAUUUGGGGCCCACAUAUCCAUUUACAUAUUUACGAAGACUUUUGUAUCAUUUCAUGGUGUACCCGAGGUACCCCCGGAGUGCUUAAGGUAGCCGGGGUACCUAGGGUACCCAAGGUACCCGAGAUAAAUUAAUCUCUUAGAUAUCGACACGUGGCGCUUCAUCAUUGGCCUCAUAUUUCCUUCCCAAAAAUCACUCAAACAUUAAUCCCCUAGUUUCUAGUAUUAAGAGUGUAACAAAACAACACUGGAAACUAUAAUACAAGUGUAAAAAAUCGCCCAUUCUAACUAAUAUUACUCACUAGGCCUGCGCCAUUCUCCAACUUUUUGUGUGUUAUCCCCAUAUCUCUUCCUUGCCAGAGUUCAAGUUGCCCUGCCAGAAUGGUCUAAAAGAAGGAUAUUGAGGACAUCGAAGGCCGUACCCUUGUUGAACUGAUGAAUGCCUUUUGGCUUGCGUGAGGCAUUCUUCCCUUUUUCGAAAAAUGACAAGUUCAGAAUGCCUUUUCAGAAGUUCCCUUUUUUGAAGAAUGCCUUUAAGGAGGAGGCAUUCUUGUGGUGGUAAUUAUGAUAGAAAUGUCAAUUUCUGAGCUAUGGUUGCCAUGUUUACUGUGCCAUACAUAACUUUAGUUGCUUGCUGCUAGCUCAUAAUAAUUAGUAAUCUUGUUUCACAUGCGCAUUGAAUCGUAUAUACUAAUAGCAAUAUUUACGAAACUAAUAUAAAAACUCAUUCCCUCGAAAAUUAAAACAAGAU
RNAcentral lists this long non-coding RNA (2480 nucleotides) under Citrus x clementina. RNAcentral's name for it is "Citrus clementina (C. clementina) long non-coding RNA (CCLE_LNC000246)". Lineage: Eukaryota; Viridiplantae; Streptophyta; Magnoliopsida; Sapindales; Rutaceae. The record is from RNAcentral.